Molecule: small nuclear RNA, 107 nt
Organism: Oryctolagus cuniculus (rabbit)
Lineage: Eukaryota; Metazoa; Chordata; Mammalia; Lagomorpha; Leporidae
Source: Ensembl
GUGCUCGCUUUGGCAGCACAUGCAGUAAAAUUGGAAGGAUACAGAGAAGAUUAGCAUGGACCCUGUGCCAGGAUGACAUGCAAAUUCAUGAAGCGCUCCAUAUUUUU